ACACGUGAUGACAGAAAUUCUUCACUUUGACCUGAUGUCUGUUGAAGAAACUCAGUAUCUGAGG
This is a small nucleolar RNA of Grammomys surdaster, 64 nucleotides long. RefSeq annotates it as small nucleolar RNA SNORD37. The transcript has a single exon. The record is from RefSeq and is a predicted model, not a curated record. NCBI's taxonomy places the organism in Eukaryota, Metazoa, Chordata, Mammalia, Rodentia, Muridae.